This is a long non-coding RNA of Ostrea edulis (European flat oyster), 3100 nucleotides long. RefSeq lists it as uncharacterized. The transcript has 3 exons. NCBI's taxonomy places the organism in Eukaryota, Metazoa, Mollusca, Bivalvia, Ostreida, Ostreidae. The record is from RefSeq and is a predicted model, not a curated record.
AAGGAAUAAUUUGACGAGACACAAGAAUCAAAAUGAUACCGCCGUUUGGAAGAGCAUUCAACAUGAUAUAUAUACUUCUCUUGAUUUUAAUCAUACUGCCAACUGGGUCAUUUUCCCCAAUAUUUCCAUGUAUUGAAAACAAUUCAAAUUCUAAACUAGUUGUUGGUAUGUUGGACCAGUUUUGUAAUCAAGUUAGAAACAAAGCAAUGACCGAUUGUUUUCGGGAUUUACAAAGGAAGAAUAAAAGGAAUAGAGAUAAUUGUCUGCGAAAGGCGAAUGAGGAACAAAAGAAGUGUUUUGAGAGAAUGUCAUUGAAAAAAUGACGUUUAAUUGCUUUCAAUUUUUUUCUUUUCGAUUUCAUUCUUCUACUUGUGUGAAAGGUGGUAUUCGGUGUGUUAGAGAUUUCAAAUGAAUGUAGUUUAAUAUGUUUCAUGUAAUCAUUAUUCCAUUCUAUGGGAAAAUGGUUCACUUGUGCAGUAUAGAUUAUGAGAUGCAGGGAGCCGAGUUGAUGAUGACUUGAAGAAAGCCAAGAGUAUGAAGAAAGAGUACACGCUGUGGGAAUAACAUCAAGUUACAACGAUUGGAAAAAGACUCCUUCGGAGAAAGCAAUAUCAUUCCUAACCUCCCAUCAGAAUACUAUUGAUGGUUGGUUGGUUAUAUAUAGUUUAUCGUCCCACUGCAGAUUUUUCACUCAUGUGGAGGCGUCACCAUUAUCGAUGUAAGAGCUGUAAAGUUUUCGUCUUUGCUUGGGGCUUACAGCCUUUUGAGCAGGGGGUAUCUUUAUCGUGCCACACCAGCUGUGACACCGAGCCUCGGAUUUUGCAGUCACCUUUUACGAUAAGCAAGGGAUACUGAAGACCUAUUCUAACCCGGAACACGGGAUUGAUGAAGAUAAGACGAAAUAAAGGAAUGGAGAGAAGACAAAAACGAUGCGACCAAUGGUAACAAUGAUUUCUACAAGAAAGGUAAUGUACAUAUAUCAAACACGGAAUAUGUAUUUUCAUUUCAGUGAUGUGGUGGAUUCACAUCCCUUUUAAUGAGAAUGCAGUUUAUCGAUCUGGUAGUGCAGCAGAGAUAUCAAGAAAUUGAUAGCAGAAGAUCAAGAAAUCAAACCCUUCUUCGGGAACACAGGUCGUCAAUGUGAUAGUGCAGCAGAGAUAUCAAGAAAUUGAUACCAGAAGAUCAAGAAAGCAGACCCUUCUUCGGGAACACAGGUCGUCAAUGUGAUAGUGCAGCAGAGAUAUCAAGAAAUUGAUAGCAGAAGAUCAAGAAAGCAGACCCUUCUUCGGGAACACAGGUCGUCAAUGUGAUAGUGCAGCAGAGAUAUCAAGAAAUUGAUAGCAGAAGAUCAAGAAAGCAGACCCUUCUUCGGGAACGCAGGUCGUCAAUGUGAUAGUGCAGCAGAGAUAUCAAGAAAUUGAUAGCAGAAGAUCAAGAAAGCAGACCCUUCUUCGGGAACGCAGGUCGUAAAUGUGAUAGUGCAGCAGAGAUAUCAAGAAAUUGAUAGCAGAAGAUCAAGAAAGCAGACCCUUCUUCGGGAACGCAGGUCGUCAAUGUGAUAGUGCAGCAGAUAUAUCAAGAAAUUGAUAUCAGAAGAUCAAGAAAUCGGACCCUUCUCCAGGACCACGGUUCAUCGAUGUGAUGGUGCAGCAGAUAUAUCAAAAAAUUGAUAUCAGAGGAUCAGGAAUCAAAUGUUUCUAGCUCUAGCCAUGUGGUUUCCUGUUUUUGGUGUGGUGAAAUUUCCCGGAAAUCAUUAUCGAAAGGUUAUCAAGUCCUUCGCAAAUAAUGCUGUUAACCAUGUGAUGUGGUAGAAUUGUCUAAAGAUCAAUAUAAUCUCUUUCCCAAGUAUAUGGUUCACCACUCUGAAGGGCGAGGCUGGAUAUCAACAUGGAAUAUAUCAGCAGCAUAGUUAAGGUUACCCGAAUACUAUACAUGUAUUCUGAGUAAAUAUGUCGCCAAAAUAUCAAUACAUAGCAAUAGAUGCGGAACACUUGAUAUCUCUGUAAAGACUGGUGCUUAUUACCAUAUUGUCCUUAGGGCACAUCCUGAAUUAAGACGUGGAUAAAUAUGCAAUAUCAAAGUGAACAAUAAGUCAAUAUUUCUAAUAUGCAGCUCUCUUUAUAUGUAAAAUUGAAAAUCACAGUUAAAUACCUCGCGAUAAUGCAAAUACUUGCUGUUACUUCGUAUAGUAUGAAGUACAAUGAGAUGCUUCUCCGGGAACCUUAACUACGCUGCGCCAUAAUCCCUCUCCCAGAUUAGGGUUUAUGGCCCAUAAUAUAUGGCUCGACACUUGUAUCCCUAUAAUAAGGUAAGACGAUAUCGCAAUUUAGUCUCAUUGAAAUGGUGAUUAUUUUGUUCUGUUUUGUUUUGCAAUAAGUAUGACUUCAGUAAGUUGUUAAAAGUAUAGUCAAUCGACUGACACAUGCUUGAUAAUUGGUAAGGUUUAUGGUUAUUUACAACAGAUUUUCCUGCAAUGAACCUGGAAAGUGGAGUCUCCCCAUUGUUGAACUACCUAGGAAACCUACGUUAAGAUCACCCGGACAUCCCAACGAACAAAAAGAAAAUUAUGCUUUUUGAAGGAUACGUUUCACCCAAUGUGUGAUAGACACCAUCCGAAUGAAGCUACCCAAAGAUGUCGUUUGAUCUCAGAUCUGACCAAUCGCAAUAUUCUAUAACUAAUAUAGCAAUAAAAUCCAUUUUGCUAUGACAUAUUAUUGAUAGAUUACCAACCAUUGCAGUUUUUUUUAUGUCUUGAACGAUUUGAUUUAUAUAAAAGCUAUGUUAUACUGUUACCAAAAGUUGCAUCAAAUGCGAAUAUUGAACCCAAAGUUGUGGACUAGCGCAGAAAUACCCUUUUCGUGAGUUUGACAGUCGAGUGUGAGGAACAAUGAUCGACACUUCAUCUUCAACGACUAAAAAUGCAUUACAUCAAUUCAAAUAAAACUUUUGUGGAAUUCAUUUUAAAUAUGAUUUGAUACGUAAAUGAACAUCCUCAUCGUAAUCUACAACCACGAUCAUUUCCAUGAUAUUUAUUUUUUCUGUUCUUGCAUGUUUUGUUUUUUUUUUACUUGUGUAGAGCGCAAAUGAAAAAGGAAUUUAA